AGCGGGGAGGGCGGCGCGGGGCCCCGGCGGAGACGCGGAGGGCGGGCGAGCGGGGAGGGUCGCGGCGCGCUGGGGGCGGGCCCCAGGUGGGGAAAGGCGUCGGACCGCAGCCCAGGCUGCUGACGGCGGCGCGGGCGGCUCGACUGGGUUCACAAGGGGAGAAAGGGGCGGGGGCGGCCGGCGGGGAGCGGGACGUCUCCGGGGGCUGCGGGCGGCAGCACGGCCGCAGCCAGGCGGGGGCACGGCGCGGGCGGGUGCCGGGCCCUGUGAGCCCCUGGCGCCGCGUCGCGCCCGCCGGUGUCCGGGUGCGGAGCCCGCGUCGCGCUGCCGGCGGGCAGCCGCCCGGGACGCGCUGGGCCCCCUGUGGGCCUCUGAGUUCGGUUCGCCGAGGUUUUGUGGAGGUUUCCGCGGCGGAAGGCUGCUGCCCCGUAGUCCCGGAGCAGCCUGGUCUGACGGGCGGCGGCGGGGCGAUCCUGGCAGUUCUGGGGUCCGUGCUGCACCGGCCUCGCAGUCUCUUGGGAAGCGUUCCUUUCUCUCUGUUCUGAAACGGUGUCUGUAGGUUGGUGUCCCUUCUGCCUUAAGUGCUCGACAGUGUGCUGGUAGAGCCCUCUGGGCGUGACGUUUUGCUGGUGUUCUGUUUCGUUUUAAAGGAAACUUUUAAAUGACGAAAUCAGUUUUCUUGAUAGAUAUAGGGCUAUUCAGGGUUUCUAUUUCAAGGCACGUUUUUCAAGAAAUAUGUCCAUUUCAUCUAAGCUGUCAAAUCUGUUUGGUAGAAAGGUCGCAGCAUUCCCUUAUUAUCCAUUGAAUAUCUGUAGUCUUAGUGAUGUCCCCAGGGCCACUCCUCAUUGUGGUAACUUGUAGCUUCUUCCUGUUUUUCUGGAUCUGUCUCGUUAAGAGUUUAUCGACUUUAUUGACGUUUUGAAAUAACCAGCUUUGGUUUCAUUCUUUUUUCCUAUUGCUUGCCCAUUUUCUGUUUCUUUGAUUUCUGUUAUUUAUUAUUUUCUUUUUUCUGUUUAUGACCAGUUUAACUUGCAUUUUUCUAGCUUCUUAAAGUAGAAAGUUAGAAGGUUUAUUUUAAACCUUCUUUUCCAAUUUAAGCAUUUAAAGCAGUAAAUGUCCCUGUAAACACUGCCCAAGUUGCAUUCUAUGCAUUUUGAUAUUUUGUAUUUUAGUUUUCAUUUAGUUCAAAAUAUUUUCUCAUUUCUCUUGUGCUUUCUUCUUUGACUUGUGGUUUAUUUGGAAUUACAUCACUUAAUUCCCAGAUAUUUGGAGAUUUUCCACGUGUCUCUUUGUUCCUGGUUUGCAUGUGGUUGUCAUGGGGCUGGAGAAUGGUCUGUGAUUUCAGGCUCUGUGUAUGGCCCCACAUAUCGUCUGUCUUGGUGAAUAUCUCAAGUGCGCUUGAAAAGAACAUGUGACCCUGAGCAGGUCGGGUAACUUGCUCUGAACUUGAGGUUCCUUGUCUGCCAGAUGCCCUUCUUCCCUGUGGAUAGGAGGGCAGUUGGGAGCUUUGGGGUGUGGUUAGUUCCUGGCUCUGCAGACAACAUGCGCUGUCUCUUGACCUUGCAGAUGGCGUGUGAGGCCGAGCGCGGUCCCUGGGGUGUGUUUGAGUGCCAGCUCUGUGCCUUCACGGCUCCGUACAGCUACGUGGGGCAGCAGCCCCCUGACACCCAGUCUGUUGUGUGAGUACUGGGGUCCCAGCGGCCCGGGGAGCCCACCAGAGCUGGCUGGCCCGCGUCUGACACGGCCUGGGCGUUGUGUCUGGGCCCACCUCGCCCAGGCUCUGGGCGCUUCAGGUGUGACCCGAGAAGGCACAGGGCAAGGUUUGAGGGCCAUCUGGCUCUUGGAGAACCUCGCAGUCCCUAGCCCCCCUUCCGCCCAGAGUCCGGCACCUGCUCCAGAUGUGGGGCGGGUCGGCAGCGGCACCGCAGGGAGCGCAGGGGCCGCCUCAUCCGGGGCUGGGCCUCCUCGCUCUUCAGCUGGUUCCCCGGAAGACAGCUUCUCGGCAGGAAGCCGCCUGCCUUGCGGCUCCUAUACUGGUGGGAGUGCGCCCUGAGAACCAGCUUCCCGUGCAUCCGCGCGUGGAGGGCCUAGAGUAGAGCCACUGGGUCCCGGGGCUGGAUUCUUGACCUUCAGCUUGUCCACCAUCAGGUGCCACCUUGUGGGGAUCUGACCAGUACGUUAGUGGGACAGGCAGCGGGGGCCAGCCUUCUUUCUUCUGGCCAUGAGGAAUCUGGGGUGUUGGUCUCCUUUCUGAUGUGCGCUGGGAGGCCAGCACUUUACCCAGAGUAAGGUGUCCUGUUCUCUCUGCGUGGGAGUGGGCGUCAUCCUGGAGGGGAGGGGAGGGCUUGGAGAGCUCGGAUGGAGGCCCUGUGUCCGGCCCCGCCCCCUGUCCUCCUGAGUCAGGCUGGGGUCUGGGGGCUGAGUUGGGUUCUUUGGGCCGAGGAGGAGCGGUUCUCUCCCUCAGUUGUCAUGGAGCCCAGAGCAGGUCUCAUUUCAGUCCUAGUCUGGAGCCAUUGCUUGCCUCUCUGCUACUGCUUGGUGGCACAGGGGGCCCGCCCUCCCCACAGUGAGCACGCACAGUGCAGGCCCUGGGGAGGUCCGUGCAGCUGGCGAGCUUCCGUCAGCAGAGGUCUGGGCCACUGCACCCCUGGCACCACUUCCUGUCCGCAGCCUCCUGGAGGAGAGCUACGUCAUGAGGGACCCCUUCACCCCCGACAAGGACAGAUUCCUGGUCCUCGGCUCGAGAUGCAGCUUAUGCGGCAGGCUGGUGUGUGUGGGCCCGGUGGGUAAGCCACGUGCGGCUGGGGCCGCCUUCCCUCCCUCCCUGUGGCUGGGACCUCCUGUGUGUGAUCGUGGGAGAGGUGACACAUGAGCCUUUCCCAGGGACAUUGAAUGCAGUUUAUUUUACUCCAAGAGAUUUUGCCUCUCCUGUGUCCGGGAGAACAUUGAUGCUUUCCCUCAGGAAAUUCAGCAAGACUUGGAGAAAAGGAAAGUCCCAUCCAAGAGGCAUGCCAGCCAG
RNA transcript from Hippopotamus amphibius kiboko, 3019 nucleotides. It is a transcript of the gene named cysteine rich DPF motif domain containing 1, with no coding region annotated. The record is from RefSeq and is a predicted model, not a curated record. NCBI's taxonomy places the organism in Eukaryota, Metazoa, Chordata, Mammalia, Artiodactyla, Hippopotamidae. The transcript has 2 exons.